AUGCUUGGUUCAGUUGCUCCUGGUAUUAAUAGCGGGAUAAAUAUGGAGAACUUGCAGCAAAUAAAUUCUGAGCAAAAAGAUAUACCAAUGCAAGAUUUUCAUGCGAGGCAAGAACUGGCUGGAUCUUCCGAGACUUCACAAGACAAGUUGAUAGUGCAGGCUCCUCCACAUAAGGAAUUAUGCUUUAAAUAUGUUGGAUGGUUCAGAUAG
Non-coding RNA from Vicia faba (fava bean), 210 nucleotides. NCBI's taxonomy places the organism in Eukaryota, Viridiplantae, Streptophyta, Magnoliopsida, Fabales, Fabaceae. The record is from the annotation of a GenBank genome assembly.